AUGAAUUUUCUCGUCUGGAACUGUCGGGGCUUGGGGUUGGACCCGACAGUAGGAGAACUAAGGGAUCUGAUUAGAUCAUACAACCCAGCGGUGGUGUUCUUGAGCGAGACUAAGAAGAAGGCGCGAGCGAUGGAGAAGAUCAAGUGGAGUUUGGGGUUUCGGCAGGGUGUUGCUGUGGACUGUGAGGGCAGGAGUGGCGGUUUGGCUUUACUUUGGAGGGAUCACAUUUCCGUCACAGUCAGACCAUGGUGCCAGUACUACAUCGAUGCGGAGAUCUCCUCCGAGGGAAGAACCGUUAGAUUCACUUGA
Molecule: ribosomal RNA, 309 nt
Filed under: Triticum aestivum (bread wheat)
Lineage: Eukaryota; Viridiplantae; Streptophyta; Magnoliopsida; Poales; Poaceae
Description: partial small subunit ribosomal RNA
Source: RNAcentral